This 74-nucleotide transfer RNA is filed under the name Thermoproteota archaeon. RNAcentral's name for it is "tRNA-Pro". It matches the Rfam family "tRNA". From Rfam's summary of the family: Transfer RNA (tRNA) molecules are approximately 80 nucleotides in length. Their secondary structure includes four short double-helical elements and three loops (D, anti-codon, and T loops). Further hydrogen bonds mediate the characteristic L-shaped molecular structure. tRNAs have two regions of fundamental functional importance: the anti-codon, which is responsible for specific mRNA codon recognition, and the 3' end, to which the tRNAs corresponding amino acid is attached (by aminoacyl-tRNA synthetases). tRNAs cope with the degeneracy of the genetic code in two manners: having more than one tRNA (with a specific anti-codon) for a particular amino acid; and 'wobble' base-pairing, i.e. permitting non-standard base-pairing at the 3rd anti-codon position. The record is from RNAcentral. Lineage: Archaea; Thermoproteati; Thermoproteota.
GGGGCCGUUGUCUAGUUUGGUAUGAUGUCAGCCUCGGGCGCUGGAGAUCGCUGGUUCAAAUCCGGCCGGCCCCA